AUUAAUAAAAGAGUUACUGACAAACUUGUUUUUGAAAUUGUUUUUCACCUCAUUCAUGGAAUAAAAUUCAGAUUCUUUUUCUUGUGAUUUAAAAACUUUUUCAGCUUCUGCAAAAUUACCCCCAAGAAUUUUUUCACAUGAAUGUGGAAUUUGAGCAGAAAUAAUAUAAUUAGCAUUUUUGUGAGAUUUUGCCCAAAUUUGGAGCACAGUUUGUUCUUUGAUCAACAGAUCUUUAACAUUAUCAAUUUCAGCAGACAAAGAUGAGUUUGACAAACUAGUGAUUCUAAGGUUUUCCUGAGUGGAAUCAAUAAUGUUAUUUUUCAUGGAUAUUUCAGUUUCAAGAAGAUCAAGUUGAUUUUGCAAAUCCCUUAUUGUUUGAUUCUUCUUAGAAUUAAGGACACCCAAAUACUCAAACAUUUUGAUUUUUUCAUUCAUUGAGUAGGAAACAAAGUUUUUAACUUGAUACAUUAAAGGAGAGUCAGUGUUGUGCUUCCUGGAAUUUUUAACUGCAUCAGACAUAUCAGCAUCAAAUGUACUUGUGUUGUUUUCACAAUUAUCAGUGUCUUCUAUCUUGACCAUCAGACACUUAACUUCAUCAUCUGAUGACUCAUCAUCAGUCUUCCAUUUUUCUUCUUCAGCAAUAAGAACUUUAUGAUCCAAGUUCUCUGCUUUCAGUUUCUCAACCAGCUUGUUGUACUUCUGCUUCCAGUAUUCAUCCGAGCUUUGGGUUCUUUGUUUGUAUUCUUUUGCAAAAUGAUCAGUGCUCCCACAGUUAAAGCACUGAGCUUUCCGUUUCUUAUCAGUACCAUGAUUUUUAUCAGCGUCUGAUCUUCUUGAAAAUUUUCCACCCAUCUUCUAAAACUUUGAGAAGUUUCGGCCUGAUUUCUCAAAAGUCUUUACAAUCAAGGCCGCACUAGGCACAACCUUUUCGAGGUCAUNUCAAAAGUCUUUACAAUCAAGGCCGCACUAGCCACAACCUUUUCGAGAUCAUCAGUGUCACUUUUAGAUGAAUCAGUGUCUGAAUGGUUUUCAGUGUCUGACUCUGACAUUUGCUUUUUGUUUGAGAAUAAAGCUACAGAUGAUUCACGCUGAGAAUCCUUCAUCACUUCCUUUCUCUGAAGCUUGG
Molecule: long non-coding RNA, 1126 nt
Filed under: Lactuca sativa (garden lettuce)
Lineage: Eukaryota; Viridiplantae; Streptophyta; Magnoliopsida; Asterales; Asteraceae
Description: long non-coding RNA (LSAT_LNC006569)
Source: RNAcentral